This 329-nucleotide unclassified non-coding RNA is filed under the name soil metagenome. Its description in RNAcentral is "partial contains 5.8S ribosomal RNA, internal transcribed spacer 2, and large subunit ribosomal RNA". The stretch from base 1 to 120 matches the Rfam family "5.8S ribosomal RNA", at positions 35 to 154 of the family's 154-position model. The record is from RNAcentral.
GAUGAAGAACGUAGCGAAAUGCGAUAAGUAGUGUGAAUUGCAGAAUUCAGUGAAUCAUCGAAUCUUUGAACGCACAUUGCGCCCCUUGGUAUCCCGAGGGGCAUGCCUGUUCGAGCGUCAUUUCACCACUCAAGCCUGGCUUGGUGUUGGGCGACGUCCCCUUUGGGGACGCGCCUCGAAACGCUCGGCGGCGUGGCACCGGCUUUAAGCGUAGCAGAAUCUUUCGCUUUGGAAGUCGGGGCCCCGUCUGCCGGAAGACCUACUCGCAAGGUUGACCUCGGAUCAGGCAGGGAUACCCGCUGAACUUAAGAAUAUCAAUAAGCGGAGGA